RNAcentral lists this ribosomal RNA (207 nucleotides) under uncultured bacterium. RNAcentral's name for it is "partial 16S ribosomal RNA". It matches the Rfam family "Bacterial small subunit ribosomal RNA", at positions 568 to 774 of the family's 1533-position model. The record is from RNAcentral.
GGCCUAGGCGGCUUGGCAAGUCGGAUGUGAAAUCCCACGGCUCACCCGUGGAACUGCGUUCGAAACUGCUUCGCUUGAGUACGGGAGAGGAGAGUGGAAUUCUCGGUGUAGCGGUGGAAUGCGUAGAUAUCGAGAAGAACACCGGUGGCGAAGGCGGCUCUCUGGCCCGAUACUGACGCUGAAGCCCGAAAGCCAGGGGAGCGAACG